This is a long non-coding RNA of Herpailurus yagouaroundi (jaguarundi), 775 nucleotides long. RefSeq lists it as uncharacterized. The record is from RefSeq and is a predicted model, not a curated record. NCBI's taxonomy places the organism in Eukaryota, Metazoa, Chordata, Mammalia, Carnivora, Felidae. The transcript has 3 exons.
ACAUUCACUUUGUAGCAAAGCACUUGUGAAAAUGAAGAACAGAUUUUCACUUGGUAAUUCUGGAGACAGGGACCUGAUUCCCAGCAGUGACAGGACAGAGAGGAAGGUCCCUGCUCCGGACAGACCUCCAGCAAGUGGUUGUCCUGUGACCCCCCACCCCACCCCCUCACACACACCUCUUUCGUCAUGUAUCCAAUCUUGUCCUGGGUCUUCAGUCAGAAUUCUGGAAACUUUAUUGUGAACUAGAAUUAGGCGGUUGCUCUAGGAUCCCAUGGCCCAGCUGUCCCAGGUGUCUAACAUGCUAUUUUCUUCCACAGGAGGAGAAGGACCAAGGUACUUUCAUGCUGCACGCAACGACAGUACCCAGGGCUCUGAUUCGUCUCUAAUGGCUCUUAAUGUGUGAGACCCGCUGCCCCCCAGGGACUGAGCAAUACAGGAUCUGUUCACACUUGGUGACAUCGAGAUCCCCUGACUUCCUGCAGAUGGUGUCAAUGUGUCUGCAUUCCUAUUAGCAUAUUGAGAGGACUCAGGAGACUGGCCCCCCAUGCCCACCAUGACCCCUCCCCGUACUGAUUCAUGUUCCCUUUCUGACCUGCUUUCCUGUUCCAGCAGAGUCAGUGCUGGACCAUCUCCAUGCCCGUCUUUUUUUCAUGUUGGACCGAGUACUGACUCCUUACUUCCCUACUAAAAAUGAGAAUCCAGAUAUGAAUUUGUGUUUUGUAAUUCUGGGUAUGCGGGGAUGACGAGGUAAUAAAAGAGAAGAUUUUUAAAGUUG